Molecule: ribosomal RNA, 253 nt
Filed under: uncultured bacterium
Lineage: Bacteria
Description: partial 16S ribosomal RNA
Rfam family: Bacterial small subunit ribosomal RNA
Source: RNAcentral
UACAGAGGUCUCAAGCGUUGUUCGGAUUCAUUGGGCGUAAAGGGUGUGUAGGUGGCGCCGUAAGUCGGGUGUGAAAUUUCGGAGCUUAACUCCGAAACUGCAUUCGAUACUGCGGUGCUUGAGGACUGGAGAGGAGACUGGAAUUUACGGUGUAGCGGUGAAAUGCGUAGAUAUCGUAAGGAAGACCAGUGGCGAAGGCGGGUCUCUGGACAGUUCCUGACGCUGAGGCACGAAGGUCAGGGGAGCAAACGGG